This 912-nucleotide ribosomal RNA is filed under the name uncultured bacterium. RNAcentral's name for it is "bacterial SSU rRNA". It matches the Rfam family "Bacterial small subunit ribosomal RNA", at positions 49 to 979 of the family's 1533-position model. The record is from RNAcentral.
CUUCACAUGCAGUCACUUGAAUUUGGGUUUUUAACUUAGAUUUGGGUGGCGGACGGGUGAGUAACGCGUAAAGAACUUGCCUCACAGUUAGGGACAACGUUUAGAAAUGAAUGCUAAUACCUGAUAUUAUGAUUUUAAGGCAUCUUAGAAUUAUGAAAGCUAUAAGCACUGUGAGAGAGCUUUGCGUCCCAUUAGCUAGUUGGAGAGGUAACAGCUCACCAAGGCGAUGAUGGGUAGCCGGCCUGAGAGGGUGAACGGCCACAAGGGGACUGAGACACGGCCCUUACUCCUACGGGAGGCAGCAGUGGGGAAUAUUGGACAAUGGACCGAGAGUCUGAUCCAGCAAUUCUGUGUGCACGAUGAAGUUGUUCGGAAUGUAAAGUGCUUUCAGUUGGGAAGAAAUAAAUGACGGUACCAACAGAAGAAGUGACGGCUAAAUACGUGCCAGCAGCCGCGGUAAUACGUAUGUCACGAGCGUUAUCCGGAUUUAUUGGGCGUAAAGCGCGUCUAGGUGGUUAUGUAAGUCUGAUGUGAAAAUGCAGGGCUCAACUCUGUAUUGCGUUGGAAACUGUAUAACUAGAGUACUGGAGAGGUAAGCGGAACUACAAGUGUAGAGGUGAAAUUCGUAGAUAUUUGUAGGAAUGCCGAUGGGGAAGCCAGCUUACUGGACAGAUACUGACGCUAAAGCGCGAAAGCGUGGGUAGCAAACAGGAUUAGAUACCCUGGUAGUCCACGCUGUAAACGAUGAUUACUAGGUGUUGGGGGUCGAACCUCAGCGCCCAAGCAAACGCGAUAAGUAAUCCGCCUGGGGAGUACGUACGCAAGUAUGAAACUCAAAGGAAUUGACGGGGACCCGCACAAGCGGUGGAGCAUGUGGUUUAAUUCGACGCAACGCGAGGAACCUUACCAGCG